GUAAUACUCCCUCCGUUCCAAAAUUCUUGUCUUAGGUCUAUAUAUGAAUGUAUCUAGUCACGUUUUAGUAUUUAGAUGCAUUCAUUUUUAAAUAAAAUUAAGAUAAAAAUAUUGGGACGGAGGGAGUAUUUA
This 132-nucleotide microRNA precursor is filed under the name Hordeum vulgare. RNAcentral describes it as "microRNA MIR1122". It matches the Rfam family "MIR1120/MIR1122 microRNA precursor family". The record is from RNAcentral. Lineage: Eukaryota; Viridiplantae; Streptophyta; Magnoliopsida; Poales; Poaceae.